GAUGAACGCUGGCGGCGUGCUUAACACAUGCAAGUCGAACGAAACACCUUAUUUGAUUUUCUUCGGAACUGAAGAUUUGGUGAUUGAGUGGCGGACGGGUGAGUAACGCGUGGGUAACCUACCCUGUACAGGGGGAUAACAGUCAGAAAUGACUGCUAAUACCGCAUAAGACCACAGCACCGCAUGGUGCAGGGGUAAAAACUCCGGUGGUACAGGAUGGACCCGCGUCUGAUUAGCUGGUUGGUGAGGUAACGGCUCACCAAGGCGACGAUCAGUAGCCGGCUUGAGAGAGUGAACGGCCACAUUGGGACUGAGACACGGCCCAAACUCCUACGGGAGGCAGCAGUGGGGAAUAUUGCACAAUGGGGGAAACCCUGAUGCAGCGACGCCGCGUGAGUGAAGAAGUAUCUCGGUAUGUAAAGCUCUAUCAGCAGGGAAGAAAAUGACGGUACCUGACUAAGAAGCCCCGG
RNAcentral lists this ribosomal RNA (470 nucleotides) under uncultured bacterium. RNAcentral's name for it is "bacterial SSU rRNA". It matches the Rfam family "Bacterial small subunit ribosomal RNA", at positions 28 to 496 of the family's 1533-position model. The record is from RNAcentral.